RNAcentral lists this unclassified non-coding RNA (3880 nucleotides) under Leishmania donovani. Its description in RNAcentral is "gene:LdHU3.03.0040(CDS-product:2-aminoethylphosph onate:pyruvateaminotransferas_e-like_protein)". Lineage: Eukaryota; Euglenozoa; Kinetoplastea; Trypanosomatida; Trypanosomatidae. The record is from RNAcentral.
CUUCGUUCGUUGUUGAUUUGUCAGGAGCAGCAAAAGAUAAGGAAAACACACAAACACCUGCUCUCUUUCCUCCUCUUUCCCCCUUUUUUUCUAAGAAUCACUGUGAGUAAUGCUGCCCACUCAGAAGCCGAUUCUCUUCACCCCGGGUCCAUUGAUGACCUCGGAUACGGUGAAAGAGGCCAUGCUAACUGACUACGCCAGCCGGGAUAUUCGCUUCGUACAAGCAGUGAAGUUCAUCCGCGAGGAGCUUGUUUCCAUUUCUGGAUUAGACCCCCAAAAGUGGGCGUGCAUCCUGCAGCAGGGUUCGGGAUCAAUGGGCAUCGAGGCAGCCAUCUCCACUAUUUUCCCGCCCACGGGCGGGAAGUUCUUCCUCAUCAACUCUGGCAAGUACUCAGAGAAGCAGGCGUAUGUGGUGAAGAGGCUGCAGUUCCCGAUGGUGAUGCUGAAGAUGGGUGAAGGCGAGGAGCUAAAGAUGAGUGCUCUGGAAUCUAUCAUCCGCGCCAACCCUGACAUCACAACUGUGGGCCUCGUCCACCACGAGACUAGCACCGGAAUGCUCUAUCCAGCCGAGCGAAUAGCAGAGGUGGUUCGCCGCGAGUUGCCCAAGGCCAAGAUUAUCAUUGACGGCAUCAGUGCCUUUGGCGGUAUCCCGUGCAACUACGAAAAGGCUUGCGACGUGCUCGUUGCCGCGCCGAACAAAUGCUUGCACAGCGUACCUGGAAUCUCCAUCAUCCUGGCCCGCCGCUUGCUCAUCGAGGCCGCGAAGGGGUGCGCGCGGAGUGCGACACUUGACCUUAGCAUGCAGCUGAUGUCGUUCGACAAGAGUGGUCAGUUCGCCGUCACACCGCCGGUCCACGUUGUGAUGGCGCUGCAGCAGGCGCUUGUGGAGUACAAGCGCGACGGCGGCUUAUCAGGGAGGCAAAAGGCGUACCAGGCGAAGGCACAGCUUGUCCGCGAAGCCGUGAAAGCGAUGGGCUUCUCGCUUUUCUUGGACGAAAGCAAGCCGAGCUGCGCCGACAUUGUGGUGUGCGUGAACAUGCCAACGGAUCCACGCUGGAGCUUCAAGAAGUUUUACACUUACCUCAACGAGCGCGGUCUCAUCAUCUACCCUGGCAAGGCGUCGCAUGCCGAGACGUUCCGCUUCGGCAUAAUUGGACACACUUCACUUGCCAAUUGCGAUCGCCUCAUGAAGUGCGCCAAGGAAGCGCUCCAAACCAUGGGCAUUGACCACCUUCAGACAAAGAGCAGCAUUUAGGUGCAUGCGUUUGUAUGUGUGGCUGCACAACAACGCCGUUUUACUGUUCACAAAUAGGUAUUGUAGCCGGAGGCCACCAUGGCAUCACAGUUUCCCCUCUUCUCGUUUUGCUCCUCCUGAGUUUUGGGGAUGCUUAAUAGUUGUUCCUCCCACAGCGUCUUUUCUUUUUUCACCUUGUUACUGUUGUAUAUUCCUUCCGCACUGACACCGCUGCUCGUAUACACUAAGAGCCGCAUGUAUUACAGGGUGCAGGGAGGGCUGCUCUAUUCGUGAGCAAUUUCGUAACGUGCCGCAUAUUGAGAACAGCGUUAGAGGCGGAUUCCACUCCAUAGUUCUCCUCUUUUUGUUCGACUCUCAUUUUUCUUUAUCCCUUCCCCUCUCUAUUCCAGCCGCUGCGGGCCAGCUGGUUUAGAAGCAGCGGAAAAGGAAGGGGUGGGGUACGCGAUGCAGGUGCGGACGAUUCAGGCACAUGCGUACGAGGAAAGUCGCCUUUACCUUGUCCGCAUCAGAUUCAUUUUUACGCCUUCUUAUGGAAGGUGUUUUCUCGCUCACCAGGAGGGAACUGCGAAAGUGCGAAAAGCAGCAGCGGCGCCGAAAAGGGGGGCAAAAGCCAGCUCCUUUACCUUUUGUUACAGUCGCACCUGUCAGGAAAAAACAGACACAUACACACAUACGCAUAUCUAGGCACGAAAGCCCCGAGGCGAGUGUUCUCACUGUUUUUGAGCGGUGUGUGCAUGAUCAUCUCAUAGGCAGAGAUAGAAUAAAGCGAAUGAUUCGCCCAGACUGUGCAUUGUCCCCGCCGCUGCAGGGCCUCGUGAUAAAUGAUGGCGCGUAUGGCCAUCCAUGCAUCACGAGUGCAACCCCCGUUUCUUUAUUUUUGGUUGGGCUCUAGUGACAUUUGUGUUUUUCGUUUCCGAGGGGCAAUCGCGAACUUUUUUUGUGCCCCCCCCCACUCUGUGCUCUUCAUGGUGUUCUGAGGUCCUUGUAGCAGUGGGAGUGAUACAAACAGCGCGGUAUCUCGUGAACCAGAAGAAGCUGCGGGCAGUGGACAAGGAAGUAUAAAAGUGGUCUGCGGAUCUAGACUUGACGGAUAUCCUCCCAGACGUUCGUUGAAUGUGCUACCCUGCUAGAGGAGUGGAGGCGUUGUGCCGAAGCAAGUGCAAUGACGUUGUGCGCUACAUCGACUACAAGUAUGGCAAGGCAUCAGUAGCCUACAAGAUGUGCAACGAGUCAGCGUACGAGUAGACUUCUGACAAGUUACUCGGAAGAGCUCGCUGUUUUGUUUUCUUCGACCAUACCACUGCGCCGCUGAAGUGAAUGCCGUCCUUCGUGAAGGUUGCUAGGACGACCCCCGCUGCCAAGCACCCAAGCGGGGCGAUGGUAAUUCACCGCGAAGCGAGCAAAGGACGAACCGGUGUGAUGAUGUACUGUGUGCUUCUGGGGCUCGAGCCUGCUUUCUCACGCUCUGGUGAGGCGUUCAUAAAGUACUAUGAUCAUCUUGCUGAGCGAGUUCGGUGGCAAGGUGGCUGCUGACGAACCCGUUAUGGCUCUCACGCGCGUCUGCCUUAUCGCGACGCCUCGGUAUUCGCCUCUGCAUACCCUCAAGCUUUCCGUGGACAGUGGGGAGGCACCGAUGCUUUCAAUUUGCCUGCACAGCAGUAGAGAAAAGCAGCAGAUGGUCUUGGAUCGGCACUACCCGACAAUGGAACGUGGAGUGGAGGUGGGGAUGCUGAUAUUGAUGUGUGACGGGGAGCCGCGAGUUCUCCACCUGUGCGGAGACUGAAGGUAUGAGAUUCUCGACUCCGGCGGUAGCCUGAUGGGUGGUACUCUCCGUGCACACACUCUUCAAAGAGACAAAGUACAGUGGUAGGGCCUUAGACUAGCUGGCGAUGGAGUGCAGUGAGGAGUGUUGCACCGAGUUCCACAGUCGAGGAACCCCUCUAGCCAAAGUCGCUCGGCUGAUUCUCGUUCUUUCGUGUCCACCCAUGUCGCGGCGGCGCACUAAAGCGCUUGGCUAUUCUCUCUGUGUGUUGCCUUGUUUCGCUUACUGUGUGGAGAUGCGUGAUGGUGCCACACAUGCGUGCGUUUGUUCGCCCAACGCACGAGAAGUCUCUCUGCGAUCAUCCUUUUGUUUGCGGUGCCGUUCUUCCCGUUCCUCAUCACCUUCUCCCUCUUGGGCCUCUCUGUAUCUCUCCACUGCUGCUGUCUUCCACCGAGUUGCGUCUCUAUGACCACCCCGUCUCCCCCCCCUUUCCCUUUUCUCCCUUUUUUCCUCAGUGUCUCCACGCACAUACAUUUCUCUUAUCGCGUGUGGAUUUUUGUUUUUUGCCUGUUGUGCUGCGUUGUCCUUGUCAUUUGUUUGUGUCGCCGCGCACACCCUCAGCUUGAUUCGAGCAAAUCAGCAUCGAAGCAGAGAAGACUAAAGGAAAUUCUUCGAUUUCUUACUUCUACAGUACGUGGAAGUGCGAUUUGCGCAUCAUACGCACUUUUCUGUCCCCUCCCCACCCCCUCUUCACGCCUUUGAUCAUGCGUCGAAUGUGGAGAGCGACCGCCUCAGUCCUCUCUGGCUGUCGCACUCCUCUGUCCUUUCAUGUGCCUGGCUUGUGCAGAAAAGACUUUUUCUCG